Molecule: long non-coding RNA, 1230 nt
Organism: Mastomys coucha (southern multimammate mouse)
Lineage: Eukaryota; Metazoa; Chordata; Mammalia; Rodentia; Muridae
Exons: 3
Source: RefSeq, a predicted model, not a curated record
GCUAGUGUUAGAACUAGGAGUUGAACUAGGGAUGGUUAGCUCUUGACCACAGACUUCAUUUACCUUGGUCCUAAAUAAGGCUGCUCCACCCACACCUUGUGCUGCUCACCAUCUGAAGUUCGAGGGCGAAUUCUGUAAAGAGUGACUUGUGUUUCCUUGAAUGCAUUGCAUGCUGGGUUUUGUUCCAGGGCCUUAGCACAUACUUUUCCUUCUUCUUUUUCCUUUUUUAGAUAUUGGGACUUGUUUAGUUAGUUGAUUUGUUAAUUUUUUCAACCCAAAUCCUUUAAAAUCCAGCUGAAAUUUCCCCUACUCUUGGAAAACCUUUGGCAUCCCCAACCCAAUAUGACCAAGUUAGCAACUCACCUAUGUUGCAUUAGGCUCCCAGUACCUGAACAGACAGGUGACACCCAGUGCACUACACCGGAACCCCACCACACCAUACUUCUCUCUUACAUCACAAUCACUGCAGUCUGGCCAAGGGCCCAGCUUGCUGCCUUGCAUUCAACAGACACUUUCUUUCAGAAGAGGGUCAGAAAAUAGGUAGAGCCUACAUUCUAAAUCUCCAUAGGCCUGGGUUCAGGUCUCAUCCCAGCCAUUUGGUAGCUAUGAGAGCCUGAGAAGUUAGUCUGCGGUUCAAAGAGUUCCUUCCUCCCACACAUUGCAAAUUCUUAUUAAACAGUACACUCUUCAGAGUCAAUGAUGGCUGAGUGAGAUAGAAACUAUGGAUUGAUGAGUAGCCCAGGAUGCAGCAAGCAGCCGGUCAAUGCUGGAAACAGGACCCCUCGGAAUCCGACUCGAUGAGAUGGUUCUAAUCUCAGCUCUCCAUUCUCCAGCUGUAGUCUUAGACAAGUUACUCCAUUCCUCACCUCAAUUCCUUAUCUACAAAUCAGCCUCUGCUUCCUGAUCAUGCUUGCUCCUCCUAGCCACAGAGUCUCCUCCCCAAAUCUCCUGCUCAGCCAGCCACUGAGGCAGAAUGUCUACCCAACCUGCAGGCACGGGGUUGGGAGAAAAGGCUUUGCUCUCACAGCCCUGGGUUCUGCAUAUCCAAGCCCACACAACCUCAGGUGACAGCACAGAAGGCUUCUUGAGUCUACCUUUCUUCAGGAGCUUUCGGCCUCUGCCCCCACCUCAUCCUAUUUGCCAGCUGCAGCUUCUAUGAGAGGCAGAGACACUCUGCCACCCAGCCCAUCAUUAUGUCCUGUUAUGAUAAAAUACACAUGACCAAAUGAG